GGUCUCGGUUAGAGCUGGCACAUUUUUCUCCACUCGUGCUGAGAUCUCUGAUGUGCAGGAUAAUAGCUUCCACGAGAGGUAUCAGCUUCCCUGCAACAUCAGCAGCUUCUAGAAUGGACUGCCCUAAAUAGUUCCAGUAUGGGGGCAAAGAAUUGAAGGAUAACGCUCAGAGGAACGAGACUCAUGGCGAGAAGUUUUGAGGAAAGGGGAAUGUGGAUAUGGAAGCAGGCACUUCUCUGCCUUGGUGGUUGAGCAUAUGCUCCCAUUAUCACAAUAUUAUGGGCUUUAUUUGAAUGUGAAUGCUACGCGUAAGUUU
This 316-nucleotide long non-coding RNA is filed under the name Phoenix dactylifera (date palm). RNAcentral describes it as "long non-coding RNA (PDAC_LNC013590)". The record is from RNAcentral. Lineage: Eukaryota; Viridiplantae; Streptophyta; Magnoliopsida; Arecales; Arecaceae.